Danio rerio (zebrafish) is the source of this 117-nucleotide ribosomal RNA. The record is from Ensembl. Lineage: Eukaryota; Metazoa; Chordata; Actinopteri; Cypriniformes; Danionidae.
AUCCACAGCCAUAUCACCCUGUACCCCAAGACCGGUUACUCACUGAAGCUAAGCAAGGCUGAGCCUGGUCAGUACCUGGAUGGGCGACCAAAUGGGAAAACUAGGUUGCUGUUGAAA